GAUCAAUGGCUUGAACUGAGAAUAUUAAUCAAAUUAUAUAUCAUAGAUACAAAAAAAAGGUAGGUGAUUUUAAAUCCCCACUAAUCCCCACCUGCUCUUUUACUCAAAUUCUUUUUCACAAAGAUCAUCAAUUGAGAAGACAGUUGUGAAAAAUUAUAACAACAUUACAACCCAUGUGCAGUUGCAAACCGUAGUCUGGCUUUUUGAAGGCGGUUUUGGAGCAGUGGCUUCUUCCUUGCUGAGCCGCCUUUCAGGUGAUGUCGAUAUGGGUCUCGUUUUACUGUGGAUAUAGACACUUUUGUACCUGUUUCCUCCAGCAUCUUCACAAGGUCAUUUGCUGUUGUUCUAGGAUUGAUUGGCCCUUUUCGCACCAAAGUACAUUCAUCUCUAGGAGACAGCGGUAUAAGGGCUGCGUGGUCCCCUGGAGUUUAUACUUGCAUACUAUUGUUUGUACAGAUGAACGCGGUACCUUCAGGCGUUUGGAAAUUGCUCCCAUGAACGAACCAGACCUGUGGAGGUCUACAAUUUAUUUCUGAGGUCUUGGCUGAUUUCUUUUGAUUUUCCCAUGAUGUCAAGCAAAGAGGCACUGAGUUUGAAGGUUUCAUCAACACGAAAGCUGCAGCAGCCCCUGGUUUUACAGCCUUCCUCUACUUCCUCCCAUAGCACUGUUCACUGGGUUCCUGUCAUUGCACUUCAUACAGGGGGAAUUCACCUCUAUAAAACAUGUUCAAGCCACCCGUGACUCUGGAGUCUGGGCCCCCUUUGAAUACUUCACUUGACUGUAGAUAUCAGUUGUUCUUUACAAGGCAUUUAAUGCUGUUUAAUUCAUGAUAGAUAGGCCCAGUAUGUAGCAUCCGCUUGCCAUCAUCCAGCCAGCACCUGCCAAUACUGCCACAGAUUGCCAUAGACUGACUGUACACCGCGUUUAGAACAAUGGGCUGGCUGAAUGCUGCCGGGGCCAUUGUUACCUGAGCGUCAGUCGGAGAGUAACCUGAAACAAAACAGCUGUUUCACUGAGUACAGGCUACAAGGCUAGAGCUAACCCUACAAACUAGGUGGGGUAGGGGAGCCCAGCCAAGUUCAUAUAAAAAGAGAAAAAACUGCUGACAUUUGCACACACACACAAAAAGUUACUCCUUUAACACUACUAUAAACUCCUAUGACAUAUGAUCAUUACUUUGUUUAUUACUUUGCUGACAAGAACGAGUUUACCCACUGCAGAUAAAUUAGGUACAGAAAAUAAACACUGAAUUGAACUGAAAAGAACAGGGUGAAUUGUAUUUCAAGUUAGUAAUUCUAUUCAUGUCAAAGAUUUUACUGAGUUACAGUUCACAUAAGGAACUUAUAAAACCUGAGACAUCUGUGGCUUUGUGUUGUGUGACUGUGUAAUGAUCUUGCUGUUUAAUCAGCUUCUUGAUAUGCCACACCUGUCAAGUGGAUGAAUUAUCUUGGCUAAGGAGAAAUGUUCACGAACAGGUAUGUAAACAAAUUUGUGGCAAAAAAAAUAGAGAGAAAGAAGCUUUUUGUGUGUUUGGAAAAUUUCUGGGAUCUUUUAUUUCAGCUCAUGAAACAUGGGACCAACACUUUGUAUAAAUAUAAAUGUUGCAUUUAUAUUUUUGUUCAGUGUACUAUGUAGUAACCUCAAGAUAAACUUAAAAUACCACACAUUUGUGAAAUUAAUGCAAACUAGAACAGCAAACUGAAAAAUAAAUUGAGGCAAGAAAAGAGAA
Oncorhynchus keta (chum salmon) is the source of this 1730-nucleotide long non-coding RNA. RefSeq lists it as uncharacterized. Lineage: Eukaryota; Metazoa; Chordata; Actinopteri; Salmoniformes; Salmonidae. The transcript has 2 exons. The record is from RefSeq and is a predicted model, not a curated record.